This 498-nucleotide ribosomal RNA is filed under the name uncultured bacterium. RNAcentral describes it as "partial 16S ribosomal RNA". It matches the Rfam family "Bacterial small subunit ribosomal RNA", at positions 28 to 507 of the family's 1533-position model. The record is from RNAcentral.
GAUGAACGCUGGCGGCGUGCCUAAUACAUGCAAGUCGAGCGAACUUUUGGGAGCUUGCUCCCAAAAGUUAGCGGCGGACGGGUGAGUAACACGUGGGUAACCUGCCUGUAAGACUGGGAUAACUUCGGGAAACCGGAGCUAAUACCGGAUAACAUUGAAGACCACAUGGCCCUCAAUUAAAAGGUGGCUUUUAGCUACCACUUACAGAUGGACCCGCGGCGCAUUAGCUAGUUGGUGAGGUAACGGCUCACCAAGGCGACGAUGCGUAGCCGACCUGAGAGGGUGGUCCGCCACACUGGGACUGGGACACGGCCCAGACUCCUACGGGAGGCAGCAGUAGGGAAUCUUCCGCAAUGGACGAAAGUCUGACGGGGCAACGCCGCGUGGGCGAAGAAGGCCUUCGGGUCGUAAAGCUCUGUUGUUAGGGAAGAACAAGUAUCGUUCGAAUAGGGCGGUACCUUGACGGUACCUAACCAGAAAGCCACGGCUAACUACGUG